AACUGGUUACACAACCAAAUAAAACAAUAUCAAUUCCCAGUCCAGUCCCCCAUCUUAAAUGGCUGUAGGUGCAAGACACUGCACCUUAAGGUUCAUGGAACAACUUGAAUCAACAUCACUCAUGAAAUGCUCCCUUUCCUCUUCACCUCUAUAUCAAAAGCAAUAUGUUCACUUCUUCAACUCUAGCCAAGUAAGAUAAAUGUAUCAAUUCUACAGUUCAUAUGUUCUCCUCUCACUUUGACUUAACAAUUUUUGCUAAUUGUAUGUAUACCUUUUAACUGAAUAGAGAUAUAGUCAGUGUUGUUCAUUGUCGAUGAAUGGAUGCCAAGGCGAUCCAAGAGCUCCUAUUGGAACCAUUGAAACUCGAACGUUGCC
Molecule: long non-coding RNA, 375 nt
Filed under: Capsicum annuum
Lineage: Eukaryota; Viridiplantae; Streptophyta; Magnoliopsida; Solanales; Solanaceae
Description: long non-coding RNA (CANN_LNC009297)
Source: RNAcentral